CCUGGUUGAUCCUGCCAGUAGUCAUAUGCUUGUCUCAAAGAUAAGCCAUGCAUGUCUAAGUACAGGCUUUGGUACAGCGAAACCGCGAAUGGCUCAUUAAAUCAGCUAUAAUUUAUUAGAUUGUUCUUUACUUGGAUAACUGUGGGAAUUCUAGAGCUAAUACAUGCACAAAAGCUCCGACCUUCGGGAAGGAGUGCAGUUAUUAGACCAAAACCAGCCGAGCUUCGGCUCGAACUGUUUGGUGACUCUGGAUAACGAUGAGCGGAUCGCAUGGCCUUGAGCCGGCGACGUAUCUUUCAAGUGUCUGACCUAUCAACUGACGAUGGUACGCGAUAUGCCUACCAUGGUGAUAACGGGUAACGGAGAAUAAGGGUUCGACUCCGGAGAGGGAGCCUGAGAAAUGGCUACCACAUCCAAGGAUGGCAGCAGGCGCGCAAAUUACCCACUCUCAGUACGAGGAGGUAGUGACGAAAAAUAACAAUGCGGGACUCAUCAGAGGCCUCGCAAUUGGAAUGAGCGCACUUUAAAUCGUUCGACGAGGAUCUAUUGGAGGGCAAGUCUGGUGCCAGCAGCCGCGGUAAUUCCAGCUCCAAUAGCGUAUAUUAAAGUUGUUGCAGUUAAAAAGCUCGUAGUUGGAUCUGGGGUUCGGGUCGGCGGUUUGCCGCUUCGGCGGCUACUGCCGUGCUCGACUCUUACUAGCCGGUGCGUCUUGCGGUGCUCUUCAUCGAGUGCCGUAGGAGCCUGGCAUGUUUACUUUGAAAAAAUUAGAGUGCUCAAAGCAGGCGAUUCCGCCUGAAUAGUGUUGCAUGGAAUAAUGGAAUAGGACCUCGGUUCUAAUUUGUUGGUUUUCGGAACUUGAGGUAAUGAUUAAGAGGGACGGUCGGGGGCAUUCGUAUUUCGGUGUUAGAGGUGAAAUUCUUGGAUCGCUGAAAGACGGACAAAUGCGAAAGCAUCUGCCAAGAACGUCUCCAUUAAUCAAGAACGAAAGUCAGAGGUUCGAAGACGAUCAGACACCGUCCUAGUUCUGACCAUAAACGAUGCCAACUAGCGAUCCGCAGUGGUUGCUAUAAACGGACUCUGCGAGCAGCUUCCGGGAAACCAAAGUGUUUGGGUUCCGGGGGAAGUAUGGUUGCAAAGCUGAAACUUAAAGGAAUUGACGGAAGGGCACCACCAGGAGUGGAGCCUGCGGCUUAAUUUGACCCAACACGGGGAAACUCACCCGGUCCGGACACUGUAAGGAUUGACAGAUCGAGAGCUCUUUCUUGAUUCGGUGGAUGGUGGUGCAUGGCCGUUCUUAGUUGGUGGAGUGAUUUGUCUGGUUAAUUCCGAUAACGAUCGAGGCUCUAGCCUGCUAACUAGUUGCAC
RNAcentral lists this ribosomal RNA (1365 nucleotides) under metagenome. RNAcentral describes it as "SSU rRNA". It matches the Rfam family "Eukaryotic small subunit ribosomal RNA", at positions 3 to 1364 of the family's 1831-position model. The record is from RNAcentral.